CUCGGCGUCCCAGCACUGGUCCUGGGCCUCCUGCAGCUCCAGCCGGUGCUGGCGGCUUGCACCUCCAGCUGGGCCCGCCAGUGCCGCUGCAGCCCGGCCAGCUCCUCCUGGGCCUCCUGCAGCUUCUCCCGCAGGGCCUCCUCCUCCACGUGCAUGGCGCUCGCCAAUCUCCUUCUGCUGGGUGCCUGGGUGCAUUAGCAGACAAAAGUGCAAUUACUUUCAAGUGCAUGCAGCUCACUGAUUUCAUCCUCAAGUUUCCACACAGUGCCCGCCAGAAGUAUGUCCGGCAAGCCUGGCAGAAGGCAGACAUCAAUACGAAAUGGGCAACCACUGGAUGGACCAAGAAGAUUGAAGCCAGAGAAAGGAAAGCCAAGAUGACAGAUUUUGAUCAUUUUAAAGUUAUGAAAGCAAAGAAAAUGAGGAACAGAAUAAUCAAGAAUGAAGUUAAGAAGCUUCAAAAGGCAGCUCUCCUGAAAGCUUCUCCCAAAAAAAGCACCUGCUGCUAAGGGUGCUGCUGCAGCUGCUGCUAAAGUCCCAGCAAAAAAGAUGACCGCUGCAGGCAAGAAGGCUCCAGCCCAGAAGGCUCCUGCCCCGAAAUCCACAGGCCAGAAGGCAGCGCCUGCUCCAAAAGCUCAAAAGGGUCAAAAAGCUCCAGCCCAGAAAGCACCUGCUCCAAAGGCAUCUGGCAAGAAAGCAUAAGAGGCAGUUAUACAAAGUAAUAAAGGUUCUUUUCGACA
This is an RNA transcript of Sapajus apella (tufted capuchin), 737 nucleotides long. It is a transcript of the gene named 60S ribosomal protein L14 pseudogene, with no coding region annotated. The transcript has 2 exons. The record is from RefSeq and is a predicted model, not a curated record. Lineage: Eukaryota; Metazoa; Chordata; Mammalia; Primates; Cebidae.